RNAcentral lists this long non-coding RNA (518 nucleotides) under Ananas comosus (pineapple). RNAcentral's name for it is "long non-coding RNA (ACOM_LNC037611)". Lineage: Eukaryota; Viridiplantae; Streptophyta; Magnoliopsida; Poales; Bromeliaceae. The record is from RNAcentral.
GCAUGAGUGCGCGCGGAUGAUUGUGUUCUUUAUGGGAUUAUAGAAGACGAGAGAAGGGUAGAAAAGAUUCAGAAAGAGGGCUCGGGUUGUAGUUACUCUGUGCAGAAGAGGAGUCAGGUGUAAUCUUCUCUUAUUUAAUGAAUCUUAUUUUACCCGCAUAUUUUCUGUUUUGGUAUUUCUCUCUUUUAUGAUUGUAUCAGCUUUUGCUGAGGAGACGGGUUUAUGGUAAAAAUCCGAUUUGAUGUUUCCGUUGCGGAAUCCCAACCAUCGGUACCGGAUUCACAGCAGUCGGUAUCGGAACGGGUUGCGGAUUCACAAGAUUUUUUACACUGUCACACUUGCACCGCGUCAUCAAUAACAAGCCAAUCAUAUUCCUUCUUUUCAAACAAAAGUACAAUAAAAAUACUUUUUUACAAUCAUAAUGGGACAUAUAUUCUUAAAAGGAUUAAUUUGAUUGGUUUGUUACGCCGCGUCACUAAUAUACCCGUUGCAUUCUAGAAUUUUUCGUUGGAGAGAGG